Molecule: ribosomal RNA, 291 nt
Filed under: uncultured bacterium
Lineage: Bacteria
Description: partial 16S ribosomal RNA
Rfam family: Bacterial small subunit ribosomal RNA
Source: RNAcentral
AGUGAACGCUGGCGGCAGGCCUAACACAUGCAAGUCGAGCGGCAGCGGGUCCCCGCGAGGGGAUGCCGGCGAGCGGCGGACGGGUGAGGAACACAUCGGAAUCUGCCUGGUUGUGGGGGAUAACGUAGGGAAACUUACGCUAAUACCGCAUGAGACCCUGAGUCGACGGACUGGGGGUGAAAGUGAGGGACCUUCGGCCGUCACGCGACCAGAUGAGCCGAUGUCGGAUUAGCUAGUUGGCGGGGGUAACGGCCCGCCAAGGCGACGAUCCGUAGCUGGUCGUGAGGAGGA